AUUGAACGCUGGCGGCAGGCCUAACACAUGCAAGUCGAACGGUAACAGGAAGAAGCUUGCUUCUUUGCUGACGAGUGGCGGACGGGUGAGUAAUGUCUGGGAAACUGCCUGAUGGAGGGGGAUAACUACUGGAAACGGUAGCUAAUACCGCAUAAUGUCGCAAGACCAAAGAGGGGGACCUUCGGGCCUCUUUCCAUCGGAUGUGCCCAGAUGGGAUUAGCUAGUAGGUGGGGUAACGGCUCACCUAGUCGACGAUCCCUAGCUGGUCUGAGAGGAUGACCAGCCACACUGGAACUGAGACACGGUCCAGACUCCUACGGGAGGCAGCAGUGGGGAAUAUUGCACAAUGGGCGCAAGCCUGAUGCAGCUAUGCCGCGUGUAUGAAGAAGGCCUUCGGGUUGUAAAGUACUUUCAGCGGGGAGGAAGGGAGUAAAGUUAAUACCUUUGCUCAUUGACGUUACCCGCAGAAGAAGCACCGGCUAACUACGUG
Molecule: ribosomal RNA, 490 nt
Filed under: uncultured bacterium
Lineage: Bacteria
Description: partial 16S ribosomal RNA
Rfam family: Bacterial small subunit ribosomal RNA
Source: RNAcentral